This 1246-nucleotide long non-coding RNA is filed under the name Marmota monax (woodchuck). The record is from RNAcentral. Lineage: Eukaryota; Metazoa; Chordata; Mammalia; Rodentia; Sciuridae.
CUGUGCUGGGGCAGUGUGAGGUGUGGGACAGACUCAGACAGAAACCCAGCACCAAACCAGUAAAGCAGGCACGGUGAAGGUGAUCGUGAUCAGGGGCAGUGGGGACGGGUCACCCAGGAGCAGACGGCAGGAGCAACAGGAGGAGACCCACAACUUGGAAUCAUCGAAAUCGAGACUUCAGCUCAGGGAAGGACGUGGCCAUCAAAACGGGCAGAGCACAGGAGACGGUGCACAGAACCAGCCCCUCCAGCAAGGGGGCCAAAGGAGGCAUCAGGGUGAAGGAUUCGGACAUGUCCUGAUGGAGAGGCAGAUGACCCAGGGGAAGUGAACAGGUCUCCACAGACCCUUCACGUGGAUGGCCAACACACGCGCUCGGGCAGCUGCUCUGAGUUAUAAGCCACCAGAGAGACGUAGAUGAAAACCAGAGUGGUCAUUGGGCAGCACCACCACAAGGUGACACAGUCUUGGCCAGCUAGAACUUGUCACAGAGGGCAAGCACAGCACCGUGCCAGACCCCUGAGCAGAGGCUCGAGGCUUCUCGUGUGGCAGUGCCUCUGGACCCGCAGGUCGGCAGGUGCACAUCCAAGAGCCCACGCAAAUCCACGUGCACAGAAAGAAUCGCCCCCGGGUGUCCACAGCUGCCUUCCUCACGAUGUCUGACCGCUUGUUCAACACACCUAUCAACGGGGGCACUAAAAGUGACAGCUUCAGUGUGAAAUAUCGGCAAGGACAGGAACCACGGGGUUCUGUGAUUCCAUCAGGGGGAGAACCCGGGACGAUCACCCUGAGAACGGCUUGUCCUCACCGCGUGAGGCGUCUGCACAGGCCGCAGUCCAGGCCACGUGGUGUCCAGGCUCAGGUAGUGCCACGCCCUCACCUGUGGGCCUCAGGGAACACACGAGAGCGGCUCAGAGGUUGUGUGUGCAGUCGUGAGUCACACCACGCGCCCAGCGAUCACAAAAUGAGUAAGGCCCGCCACCGCCACCGUGAUCCUGGCACCGUGAUCUCCACGAUCCAGGGUGCUGUGCCCGCGCUAAGGCGGGGGUCUCUGAAGAACAGCUGGAGGUGCCUUUCUGUUUGGGCUCUCUGCCUUGAAUCAGCAAAACUGGGACAUGUGUGUGCACUGGGAGCUCGAGGGCUGGACUCUGCCUAGCCUACAAGUCCUCUGCUGCCUGCUCCUCCUGUCCUGGGCUCCAGCAGGGAUUUCCAUGGGGAACCACAGUGUGGAGGGGGUGGGGUCACUGGG